CUCCUACGGGAGGCAGCAGUGAGGAAUAUUGGUCAAUGGACGAGAGUCUGAACCAGCCAAGUAGCGUGAAGGAUGACUGCCCUAUGGGUUGUAAACUUCUUUUAUAAGGGAAUAAACCCUCCCACGUGUGGGAGCUUGUAUGUACCUUAUGAAUAAGCAUCGGCUAACUCCGUGCCAGCAGCCGCGGUAAUACGGAGGAUGCGAGCGUUAUCCGGAUUUAUUGGGUUUAAAGGGAGCGCAGACGGGUCGUUAAGUCAGCUGUGAAAGUUUGGGGCUCAACCUUAAAAUUGCAGUUGAUACUGGCGUCCUUGAGUGCGGUUGAGGUGUGCGGAAUUCGUGGUGUAGCGGUGAAAUGCUUAGAUAUCACGAAGAACUCCGAUUGCGAAGGCAGCACACUAAUCCGUAACUGACGUUCAUGCUCGAAAGUGUGGGUAUCAAACAGGAUUAGAUACCCUGGUAGUCCACACGGUAAACGAUGGAUACUCGCUGUUGGCGAUAUACUGUCAGCGGCUUAGCGAAAGCGUUAAGUAUCCCACCUGGGGAGUACGCCGGCAACGGUGAAACUCAAAGGAAUUGACGGGGGCCCGCACAAGCGGAGGAACAUGUGGUUUAAUUCGAUGAUACGCGAGGAACCUUACCCGGGCUUAAAUUGCAAAGGAAUAAUCUGGAAACAGAUUAGUCUUCGGACCUUUGUGAAGGUGCUGCAUGGUUGUCGUCAGCUCGUGCCGUGAGGUGUCGGCUUAAGUGCCAUAACGAGCGCAACCCUCGCCGCCAGUUACUAGCAGGUAAUGCUGAGGACUCUGGCGGGACUGCCAUCGUAAGAUGUGAGGAAGGUGGGGAUGACGUCAAAUCAGCACGGCCCUUACGUCCGGGGCUACACACGUGUUACAAUGGGCGGUACAGAAGGCAGCUACCUGGCGACAGGAUGCCAAUCCCUAAAGCCGCUCUCAGUUCGGACUGGAGUCUGCAACCCGACUCCACGAAGCUGGAUUCGCUAGUAAUCGCGCAUCAGCCACGGCGCGGUGAAUACGUUCCCGGGCCUUGUACACACCGC
This 1054-nucleotide ribosomal RNA is filed under the name uncultured bacterium. RNAcentral describes it as "bacterial SSU rRNA". It matches the Rfam family "Bacterial small subunit ribosomal RNA", at positions 336 to 1393 of the family's 1533-position model. The record is from RNAcentral.